CAGGCCUAACACAUGCAAGUCGAGGGGUAACAGGAGAGAGCUUGCUUUCAUGCUGACGACCGGCGCACGGGUGCGUAACGCGUAUGCAACCUACCUUCUACAGGGGGAUAGCUCAGAGAAAUUUGAAAUAAUACCCCAUACGAUCAAUGAUUGGCAUCGAUUAUUGAAGAAAACUCCGGUGGUAGAAGAUGGGCAUGCGUCCUAUUAGUUAGUUGGUGAGGUAACGGCUCACCAAGACGUCGAUAGGUAGGGGCCCUGAGAGGGGGAUCCCCCACACUGGUACUGAGACACGGACCAGACUCCUACGGGAGGCAGCAGUGAGGAAUAUUGGACAAUGGAGGCAACUCUGAUCCAGCCAUGCCGCGUGCAGGAAGACUGCCCUAUGGGUUGUAAACUGCUUUUAUACAGGAAGAAACCUACUUACGUGUAAGUAGCUGACGGUACUGUAAGAAUAAGGAUCGGCUAACUCCGUGCCAGCAGCCGCGGUAAUACGGAGGAUCCAAGCGUUAUCCGGAAUCAUUGGGUUUAAAGGGUCCGUAGGUGGUUAAUUAAGUCAGGGGUGAAAGCCAGCAGCUCAACUGUUGAACUGCCUUUGAUACUGAUUAACUUGAGUUAUUGUGAAGUAGUUAGAAUAUGUAGUGUAGCGGUG
This 649-nucleotide ribosomal RNA is filed under the name uncultured bacterium. Its description in RNAcentral is "bacterial SSU rRNA". It matches the Rfam family "Bacterial small subunit ribosomal RNA", at positions 43 to 683 of the family's 1533-position model. The record is from RNAcentral.